ACAUCCAGCGAACUUGGCAGAGAUGCCUUGGUGCCUUCGGGAACGCUGAGACAGGUGCUGCAUGGCUGUCGUCAGCUCGUGUUGUGAAAUGUUGGGUUAAGUCCCGNAACGAGCGCAACCCUUAUCCUUUGUUGCCAGCGAUUCGGUCGGGAACUCAAAGGAGACUGCCGGUGAUAAACCGGAGGAAGGUGGGGAUGACGUCAAGUCAUCAUGGCCCUUACGAGUAGGGCUACACACGUGCUACAAUGGCGCAUACAAAGAGAAGCGACCUCGCGAGAGCAGCGGACCUCAUAAAGUGCGUCGUAGUCCGGAUCGGAGUCUGCAACUCGACUCCGUGAAGUCGGAAUCGCUAGUAAUCGUGGAUCAGAAUGCCACGGUGAAUACGUUCCCGGGCCUUGUACACACCGCCCGUCACACCAUGGGAGUGGGUUGCAAAAGAAGUAGGUAGCUUAACCUUCGGGAGGGCGCUUACCACUUUGUGAUUCAUGACUGGGGUGAAGUCGUAACAAGGUAAGCGUAGCGAG
This 524-nucleotide ribosomal RNA is filed under the name uncultured bacterium. Its description in RNAcentral is "bacterial SSU rRNA". It matches the Rfam family "Bacterial small subunit ribosomal RNA", at positions 984 to 1509 of the family's 1533-position model. The record is from RNAcentral.